This 773-nucleotide ribosomal RNA is filed under the name Enterocytozoon bieneusi H348. RNAcentral's name for it is "28S ribosomal RNA". It matches the Rfam family "Eukaryotic large subunit ribosomal RNA", at positions 1611 to 2725 of the family's 3401-position model. Lineage: Eukaryota; Fungi; Microsporidia; Enterocytozoonidae. The record is from RNAcentral.
AGAUAUUCUAUAUAGAUGUACCUAUGUGGCGACACGACAGCGACCCCAACGACGUGUGCCGGUGAGAAUUUUCCGGGACACCCAGAUCUUAUGAGCGUCACGCUGAGACUAAGAACGAGUUGGGCGGUGAAAAUGAAGGAACAUCCUCGUACCGAACCGCAACAGGACUCCUAGGUGAGAAGCCUAAGGCAUAAUUGUAAUGUGAGCAAGGGAAAUCGGCAAAAUGGAUGAAAAACCUCGGGAUAAUCAUUGGCUCUAGCAUGCUAGAACUGGGCUUACAAGGGGAAUCUGACUGUUUAAUAAAAACAUAGCUUUGUGUGUACGCAAAGUGAAUUCUGCCCAGUGCUUGGGACGUUAAGGAAGUAAUUUUAAGUACGCACCUGUAAACGGCGGGAGUAACUAUGACUCUCUUAAGGUAGCCAAAUGCCUCGUCGCCUAAUUAGCGACGCGCAUGAAUGGAGCAACGAGAUUCCCACUGUCCCUGCUCACAGAUUUGCGAACCUACAGCCAAGGGAACGGGCUUGGGACAUGCAGCGGGGAAAGAAGACCCUGUUGAGCUUGACUCUAGCCAAGCACAGGCCUCUGUGACUAUAUCGUAGCGAGGUGGGAGAAAUGUGUGAGACCACUGACAUAGUCGGCGGGGGCACUCGCAAAGCUUGGUGGGGAGUUUGGCUGGGGCGGCACGACUACUAAAACAUAACGUAGACGUCCAAAGGUAAGCUCCGAGGGGAUGGAAACCACUCCGAGAGUAUAAGGGCAAAAGCUUGCUUUAG